UACGGGGGGAGCAAGCGUUGUUCGGAUUUACUGGGCGUAAAGGGCGCGUAGGCGGUCAGCACAAGUCAGUUGUGAAAUCUCUGGGCUUAACCCAGAAAGGUCAACUGAUACUGCGGGGCUAGAGUGCAGAAGGGGCAACUGGAAUUCUCGGUGUAGCGGUGAAAUGCGUAGAUAUCGAGAGGAACACCUGCGGCGAAGGCGGGUUGCUGGGCUGACACUGACGCUGAUGCGCGAAAGCUAGGGGAGCGAACGGG
Molecule: ribosomal RNA, 254 nt
Filed under: uncultured bacterium
Lineage: Bacteria
Description: partial 16S ribosomal RNA
Rfam family: Bacterial small subunit ribosomal RNA
Source: RNAcentral